RNAcentral lists this ribosomal RNA (581 nucleotides) under Escherichia coli. Its description in RNAcentral is "partial 23S ribosomal RNA". It matches the Rfam family "Bacterial large subunit ribosomal RNA", at positions 2251 to 2827 of the family's 2925-position model. The record is from RNAcentral. Lineage: Bacteria; Pseudomonadati; Pseudomonadota; Gammaproteobacteria; Enterobacterales; Enterobacteriaceae.
ACAGUGUCUGGUGGGUAGUUUGACUGGGGCGGUCUCCUCCUAAAGAGUAACGGAGGAGCACGAAGGUUGGCUAAUCCUGGUCGGACAUCAGGAGGUUAGUGCAAUGGCAUAAGCCAGCUUGACUGCGAGCGUGACGGCGCGAGCAGGUGCGAAAGCAGGUCAUAGUGAUCCGGUGGUUCUGAAUGGAAGGGCCAUCGCUCAACGGAUAAAAGGUACUCCGGGGAUAACAGGCUGAUACCGCCCAAGAGUUCAUAUCGACGGCGGUGUUUGGCACCUCGAUGUCGGCUCAUCACAUCCUGGGGCUGAAGUAGGUCCCAAGGGUAUGGCUGUUCGCCAUUUAAAGUGGUACGCGAGCUGGGUUUAGAACGUCGUGAGACAGUUCGGUCCCUAUCUGCCGUGGGCGCUGGAGAACUGAGGGGGGCUGCUCCUAGUACGAGAGGACCGGAGUGGACGCAUCACUGGUGUUCGGGUUGUCAUGCCAAUGGCACUGCCCGGUAGCUAAAUGCGGAAGAGAUAAGUGCUGAAAGCAUCUAAGCACGAAACUUGCCCCGAGAUGAGUUCUCCCUGACUCCUUGAGAGUC